This 380-nucleotide ribosomal RNA is filed under the name uncultured eukaryote. RNAcentral's name for it is "SSU rRNA". It matches the Rfam family "Eukaryotic small subunit ribosomal RNA", at positions 587 to 972 of the family's 1831-position model. The record is from RNAcentral.
AGCUCCAAUAGCGUAUAUUAAAGUUGUUGCGGUAAAAAAGCUCGUAGUUGGAUUUCUCUUGAGUAUCACCGGUUCAUACCACGUAUGCAUAUCUGGUUGAGGCUCGAGAUCCUCUCGCGAAACGUUUCUGCGCUUGAUUGCGUGGAGCGGGUCUCGGGACUUUUACUUUGAGGAAAUUAGAGUGUUCACGGCAGGCUAUCGCCCGAAUACAUUAGCAUGGAAUAAUACUAUAGGAUUUCGAUUCUAUUUUGUUGGUUUCUAGAAUUGAAAUAAUGAUUAAUAGGGACAAUUGGGGGCAUUCGUAUCAACACGUCAGAGGUGGAAUUCUUGGAUUGUGUUGCGACGAACUACUGCGAAAGCAUUUGCCAAGGAUGUUUUCA